Molecule: ribosomal RNA, 433 nt
Filed under: uncultured bacterium
Lineage: Bacteria
Description: partial 16S ribosomal RNA
Rfam family: Bacterial small subunit ribosomal RNA
Source: RNAcentral
AACGAACGCUGGCGGCAUGCCUAACACAUGCAAGUCGAACGAGACCUUCGGGUCUAGUGGCGCACGGGUGCGUAACGCGUGGGAACCUGCCCUUAGGUUCGGAAUAACUCCCCGAAAGGGGUGCUAAUACCGGAUAAUGUCUUCGGACCAAUGAUUUAUCGCCUUUGGAUGGGCCCGCGUUGGAUUAGCUAGUUGGUAGGGUAAAAGCCUACCAAGGCGACGAUCCAUAGCUGGUCUGAGAGGAUGAGCAGCCACACUGGGACUGAGACACGGCCCAGACUCCUACGGGAGGCAGCAGUGGGGAAUAUUGGACAAUGGGCGGAAGCCUGAUCCAGCAAUGCCGCGUGAGUGAUGAAGGCCUUAGAGUUGUAAAGCUCUUUUACCCGGGAUGAUAAUGACAGUACCGGGAGAAUAAGCUCCGGCUAACUCCGUG